UUGAAAGUAAACAGAAAUGAUUGGAGUAGUAAGAGUUAAGUCCUUGAAACUUAAAAAAUUUGGCGGUGUUUUAUUCUUCUUAGAGGAACUUGUUUUAUAAUCGAUAUUCCUCGUUGUAUCUUACUUAAUUUAGUUUAAUUUGUAUAUCGUUGUCAUAAGAAUAUCUUUAAAAAGUGAAUAAUGUUCUAAUUUAAUAAUUUUUUUUUAUGUCAGAUCAAGGUGCAGUAUAUAUUUAAGUAAAAAUGAGUUACAAUUAAUUUAUUAUUAAUUAUGAAUUAAAGUUUUAAAAAAUUUUAUGAAAGUGGAUUUAAUAGUAAAUAUUAAUUAUUAAGUAAUAUUGAUAAAAGUUUUAAAAUGUGC
Molecule: ribosomal RNA, 360 nt
Filed under: unidentified
Description: Setostylus sp. NB-2020 partial 12S ribosomal RNA
Source: RNAcentral